This 73-nucleotide transfer RNA is filed under the name Felis catus (domestic cat). It matches the Rfam family "tRNA". Rfam says of the family: Transfer RNA (tRNA) molecules are approximately 80 nucleotides in length. Their secondary structure includes four short double-helical elements and three loops (D, anti-codon, and T loops). The record is from Rfam by way of RNAcentral. Lineage: Eukaryota; Metazoa; Chordata; Mammalia; Carnivora; Felidae. RNAcentral also lists the same sequence under 1 other name.
ACCUGGCUGGCUCAGUUGGUGGAGCUUGUGACUCUUGAUCUCAGGGUUGUAAGUUCAAGCCCCACACUGGGUG